RNAcentral lists this ribosomal RNA (630 nucleotides) under uncultured Methylobacter sp. RNAcentral describes it as "bacterial SSU rRNA". It matches the Rfam family "Bacterial small subunit ribosomal RNA", at positions 202 to 820 of the family's 1533-position model. Lineage: Bacteria; Pseudomonadati; Pseudomonadota; Gammaproteobacteria; Methylococcales; Methylococcaceae. The record is from RNAcentral.
AGGGGAUCUUCGGACCUUUCGCUAUGAGAUGAGCCUGCGUUAGAUUAGCUAGUUGGUAGGGUAAAGGCCUACCAAGGCGACGAUCUAUAGCUGGUCUGAGAGGACGAUCAGCCACACUGGGACUGAGACACUGCCCAGACUCCUACGGGAGGCAGCAGUGGGGAAUAUUGGACAAUGGGCGAAAGCCUGAUCCAGCAAUACCGCGUGUGUGAAGAAGGCCUUAGGGUUGUACAGCACUUUCAAUUGAGAGGAAAACCUGCCGGCCAAUACCCGGUAGCUUGACAUUACCUUUAGAAGAAGCACCGGCUAACUCCGUGCCAGCAGCCGCGGUAAUACGGAGGGUGCGAGCGUUAAUCGGAAUUACUGGGCGUAAAGCGUGCGUAGGCGGUUCGUUAAGUCAGAUGUGAAAGCCCUGGGCUCAACCUGGGAACUGCAUUUGAAACUGGCGGACUAGAGUUUAGUAGAGGGGAGUGGAAUUUCAGGUGUAGCGGUGAAAUGCGUAGAUAUCUGAAGGAACACCAGUGGCGAAGGCGACUCCCUGGACUAGAACUGACGCUGAGGUACGAAAGCGUGGGUAGCAAACAGGAUUAGAUACCCUGGUAGUCCACGCCGUAAACGAUGUCGACUAGC